AAUUAGCCCUGGCAAAUUCUCCCGGAGGACUCAUGACUCAAAGUAGACCAGUAAUAGAAGGCAAGUGUUCUCAAGAAAACAGAGCAUGUGAACUUGGAAGGAGUCGCGUAAGGGAGUGGGGCGAACAACCCCAAAAGGCUCAAGGCCAUGUCCCCUGGCUAAAUUAUCCGUGAACUCUUACAAGCUCACCCUAAUACUCGGUAGCUUGGGCUGCACAAGAAGAAUACACACUUGGGUCCAGUGGAGAUGAAUUGGCUACUUUACGGCGGUCACACAUUCAUGCAAUCUGCAUUAUCCUGCACUCCUCCGUUCUAUCUCAACCC
RNAcentral lists this long non-coding RNA (323 nucleotides) under Vombatus ursinus (common wombat). RNAcentral's name for it is "lncRNA (ENSVURG00010016341.1)". Lineage: Eukaryota; Metazoa; Chordata; Mammalia; Diprotodontia; Vombatidae. The record is from RNAcentral.